UACGUAGGUGGCGAGCGUUGUCCGGAUUUACUGGGCGUAAAGAGCGCGCAGGCGGUCGUUCAAGUCGCGUGUGAAAGCCCCCGGCUCAACUGGGGAGGGUCACGCGAUACUGAUCGACUCGAAGGCAGGAGAGGGUAGUGGAAUUCCCGGUGUAGUGGUGAAAUGCGUAGAUAUCGGGAGGAACACCAGUGGCGAAGGCGGCUCACUGGCUCAUUACUGACGCUCAGGCGCGAUAGCGUGGGGAUCAAACAGG
RNAcentral lists this ribosomal RNA (253 nucleotides) under uncultured bacterium. RNAcentral's name for it is "partial 16S ribosomal RNA". It matches the Rfam family "Bacterial small subunit ribosomal RNA", at positions 524 to 776 of the family's 1533-position model. The record is from RNAcentral.